RNAcentral lists this ribosomal RNA (232 nucleotides) under uncultured bacterium. RNAcentral's name for it is "partial 16S ribosomal RNA". It matches the Rfam family "Bacterial small subunit ribosomal RNA", at positions 99 to 334 of the family's 1533-position model. The record is from RNAcentral.
CGCACGGGUGCGUAACGCGUGGGAAUCUGCCCUUUGGUUCGGAAUAACAGUUAGAAAUGACUGCUAAUACCGGAUGAUGUCGCCAAGAGAGAUUUUGGGGACCAAAGAUUUAUCGCCAAGGGAUGAGCCCGCGUAGGAUUAGGUAGUUGGUGGGGUAAAGGCCUACCAAGCCGACGAUCCUUAGCUGGUCUGAGAGGAUGAUCAGCCACACUGGGACUGAGACACGGCCCAG